CCCUUAGAUGUUCUGGGCCGCACGCGCACUACAAUGGCGUGUGCAGCGAGUGCCGAAGUAGAGUUUUCCGAGGUAUUCUUGCAAUGCUCGUUUUGAUGGGGAUAGACCCUUGCAACUGUUGGUUUUGAACGAGGAAUUCCUUGUAAGCAUGGUUUAUCAUCCGACGCUGAAUGCGUCCCUGCCCUUUGUACACACCGCCCGUCGCUCCUACCGAUGAGUCGUCCGGUGAAGUUCGUAGACCUCGUGAUCGCGGAUCACUGGGGGAAGCAAAAUGAACCUCGCGGUUUAGAGGAAGGAGAAGUCGUAACA
RNAcentral lists this ribosomal RNA (309 nucleotides) under uncultured eukaryote. RNAcentral's name for it is "partial 18S ribosomal RNA". It matches the Rfam family "Eukaryotic small subunit ribosomal RNA", at positions 1470 to 1796 of the family's 1831-position model. The record is from RNAcentral.